Molecule: ribosomal RNA, 571 nt
Filed under: uncultured bacterium
Lineage: Bacteria
Description: bacterial SSU rRNA
Rfam family: Bacterial small subunit ribosomal RNA
Source: RNAcentral
GGCAGCAGUGGGGAAUCUUGCAAAUGAACGAGAGUCUGAUGGAGCAAUGCCGCGUGAGUGGAGAAGGUUCUCGGAUCGUAAAACUCUUUUGCCGGGGAAGAUAAUGUCGGAAACCGACUGCUCGGCCCCUGACGGCUCCUUGCCAGAAAGCCACGGCUAACUACGGGGGCUAGCCCGCGGCAAUUUUACUGUGGGUAGCGCUGACCGGAGUUAUUGUUUGAAUAGCGCGCGAAAUCCCGGCUUUCAACCUGAUGUCUGACUUUGAUACUGGAAGUCUUAGGGUCAUUGGAAACUGGGGGAAUUGCGAACGUAAAAGGAAAAUUCAAUUCCAUUCGUAGGAACGAAAUGGGCGAGAUUUCUCACUGGACCAUUACUGACGCUGCUUUCUGGUCUGUGCUGACCCUGAGGAUUAAAAGCCCUGGGAGCAAAUAGGAUUAAAUACCCUGGUAGUCCACGCCGGGAACGACUCUGCUAAGGGGCAGGGGGUUUCCGCCCCUUUCCGCCUGGGCAGUACCGUCAAGCGAUUCGCCCGGGGAGUACGUGACGGAAGCUGAAAUGAUCUGAAUUGACC